GAAAAGUCCAAGCGCACUGCACAUCAGGAGAUGAAUUUGAUAGCUAAACUGAACCAUCCAUAUAUGUUUGAGUACAAAGAUGCUUGGGUGGACAAGGAAAGCUGUAUAUGCAUCGUCGCCGAUUAUUGCGAAGAUGGAAAUGUGGCAGAGAUCAUAAAGAAGUCUAGAGGAGCAUUUUUCCCUGAAGAGAAACUAUGCAAAUGGCUGACUCAGCUAUUGUUAGCUUUGGAGUAUCUGCAUUCUAAACGUGUUCAGCAUAGAGACCUCAAGUUAUGUAACAUAUU
Molecule: unclassified non-coding RNA, 284 nt
Filed under: Hevea brasiliensis (rubber tree)
Lineage: Eukaryota; Viridiplantae; Streptophyta; Magnoliopsida; Malpighiales; Euphorbiaceae
Source: RNAcentral